RNAcentral lists this ribosomal RNA (73 nucleotides) under Staphylococcus epidermidis. RNAcentral describes it as "partial 23S ribosomal RNA". Lineage: Bacteria; Bacillati; Bacillota; Bacilli; Caryophanales; Staphylococcaceae. The record is from RNAcentral.
AAUAUGUACGAGGUGGAAGCGUGGUGACACGUGGAGCUGACGAAUACUAAUCGAUCGAAGACUUAAUCAAUUU